RNAcentral lists this ribosomal RNA (305 nucleotides) under uncultured bacterium. Its description in RNAcentral is "bacterial SSU rRNA". It matches the Rfam family "Bacterial small subunit ribosomal RNA", at positions 335 to 637 of the family's 1533-position model. The record is from RNAcentral.
GAUCCUACGGGACGCAGCAGUGAGGAAUAUUGGUCAAUGGUCGGGAGACUGAACCAGCCAAGCCGCGUGAGGGAUGAAGGUACAGAGUAUCGUAAACCUCUUUUGUCAGGGAACAAAGGCGGGGACGUGUCCCCGGAUGAGUGUACCUGGAGAAAAAGCAUCGGCUAACUCCGUGCCAGCAGCCGCGGUAAUACGGAGGAUGCGAGCGUUAUCCGGAAUUACUGGGUGUAAAGGGAGUGUAGGCGGGAAAGCAAGUCAGAAGUGAAAACUAUGGGCUUAACCCAUAGCCUGCUUUUGAAACUGUU